Molecule: transfer RNA, 78 nt
Filed under: Candidatus Aenigmatarchaeota archaeon
Lineage: Archaea; Nanobdellati; Candidatus Aenigmatarchaeota
Also listed under: 1 other name
Description: tRNA-Met
Rfam family: tRNA
About the family: Transfer RNA (tRNA) molecules are approximately 80 nucleotides in length.
Source: RNAcentral
AGCGGGAUAGGGCAGCCAGGAGUGCCCGUCGGGCUCAUAACCCGAAGGUCGUUGGUUCAAAUCCAACUCCCGCUACCA